GACGAACGCUGGCGGCGUGCCUAAUACAUGCAAGUUGAGCGCUGAAGGUUGGUACUUGUACCGACUGGAUGAGCAGCGAACGGGUGAGUAACGCGUGGGGAAUCUGCCUUUGAGCGGGGGACAACAUUUGGAAACGAAUGCUAAUACCGCAUAAAAACUUUAAACACAAGUGUUAAGUUUGAAAGAUGCAAUUGCAUCACUCAGAGAUGAUCCCGCGUUGUAUUAGCUAGUUGGUGAGGUAAAGGCUCACCAAGGCGAUGAUACAUAGCCGACCUGGGAGGGUGAUCGGCCACAUUGGGACUGAGACACGGCCCAAACUCCUACGGGAGGCAGCAGUAGGGAAUCUUCGGCAAUGGACGAAAGUCUGACCGAGCAACGCCGCGUGAGUGAAGAAGGUUUUCGGAUCGUAAAACUCUGUUGGUAGAGAAGAACGUUGGUGAGAGUGGAAAGCUCAUCAAGUGACGGUAACUACCCAGAAAGGGACGGCUAACUACGUGCCAGCAGCCGCAGUAA
Molecule: ribosomal RNA, 513 nt
Filed under: uncultured bacterium
Lineage: Bacteria
Description: partial 16S ribosomal RNA
Rfam family: Bacterial small subunit ribosomal RNA
Source: RNAcentral